This 344-nucleotide unclassified non-coding RNA is filed under the name soil metagenome. RNAcentral's name for it is "partial contains 5.8S ribosomal RNA, internal transcribed spacer 2, and large subunit ribosomal RNA". The stretch from base 1 to 120 matches the Rfam family "5.8S ribosomal RNA", at positions 35 to 154 of the family's 154-position model. The record is from RNAcentral.
GAUGAAGAACGCAGCGAAAUGCGAUAAGUAAUGUGAAUUGCAGAAUUCAGUGAAUCAUCGAAUCUUUGAACGCACAUUGCGCCCCUUGGUAUUCCGAGGGGCAUGCCUGUUCGUGCGUCAUUACACCACUCAAGCACUGCUUGGUAUUGGGCACUCGUCCGUCGAAAGACGGGCGUGCCUCGAAGACCUCGGCGGGGUUUCUCCAACUUCGGGCGUAGUAGAGUUAAAUCAAAACGUCUUAUAAGCUUGGUGAGAUCUCAUUGCCGUUAAACCUUUUUUUUUCAGGUUGACCUCGGAUCAGGUAGGGAUACCCGCUGAACUUAAGCAUAUCAAUAAGCGGAGGA